AACGUAGGAACCGAGCGUUAUCCGGAUUCACUGGGUGUAAAGCGCGUGCAGGUGGCUUCGUAAGUUGGACGUGAAAUCUCCUGGCUUAACUGGGAGAGGCCGUUCAAUACUGCGGGGCUUGAGGGCAGGAGAGGGAGGUGGAAUUCCCGGUGUAGUGGUGAAAUGCGUAGAUAUCGGGAGGAACACCAGUGGCGAAGGCGGCCUCCUGGCCUGCUCCUGACACUGAGACGCGAAAGCUAGGGGAG
RNAcentral lists this ribosomal RNA (245 nucleotides) under uncultured Anaerolineaceae bacterium. Its description in RNAcentral is "partial 16S ribosomal RNA". It matches the Rfam family "Bacterial small subunit ribosomal RNA", at positions 524 to 768 of the family's 1533-position model. The record is from RNAcentral. Lineage: Bacteria; Bacillati; Chloroflexota; Anaerolineae; Anaerolineales; Anaerolineaceae.